GCCCUAGUUGCUUAGUCUGGUAGAGCGUUGCCUUGGUAACGCUUAUAGGCCGGGGGUUCAAUUCCCCCCUGGGGCU
Molecule: transfer RNA, 76 nt
Filed under: Promethearchaeota archaeon
Lineage: Archaea; Promethearchaeati; Promethearchaeota
Description: Candidatus Lokiarchaeota archaeon tRNA-Thr
Rfam family: tRNA
About the family: Transfer RNA (tRNA) molecules are approximately 80 nucleotides in length.
Source: RNAcentral